GACGAACGCUGGCGGCGUGCUUAACACAUGCAAGUCGAAUGGAAAGGCCCUGCUUUUGUGGGGUGCUCGAGUGGCGAACGGGUGAGUAACACGUGAGUAACCUGCCCUUGACUUUGGGAUAACUUCAGGAAACUGGGGCUAAUACCGGAUAGGAGCUCCUGCUGCAUGGUGGGGGUUGGAAAGUUUCGGCGGUUGGGGAUGGACUCGCGGCUUAUCAGCUUGUUGGUGGGGUAGUGGCUUACCAAGGCUUUGACGGGUAGCCGGCCUGAGAGGGUGACCGGCCACAUUGGGACUGAGAUACGGCCCAGACUCCUACGGGAGGCAGAAGUGGGGAAUAUUGCACAAUGGGCGGAAGCCUGAUGCAGCAACGCCGCGUGCGGGAUGACGGUCUUCGGGUUGUAAACCGCUUUCGCCUGUGACGAAGCGUGAGUGACGGUAAUGGGUAAAGAAGCACCGGCUAACUACGUG
This 468-nucleotide ribosomal RNA is filed under the name uncultured bacterium. RNAcentral describes it as "partial 16S ribosomal RNA". It matches the Rfam family "Bacterial small subunit ribosomal RNA", at positions 28 to 507 of the family's 1533-position model. The record is from RNAcentral.